GGAGCGGUUCUCUUCGAGUUGGCUGAGUGUUAUUCUUCCGAUUCGUUCGACGAAGGAAGGUUUAUUUUUUAUCAGUUCUUAUUCACUGUCUAUUGUAAUCUGUGAAAUAAUUUUAGUGGAACUGUUAAUCACUCUUUACAGUGAUUAACGACUAGACGUAGAUUUUGUUGAACCGAACCAGUAUAAAAAUACUUGUGUGGUUUUCUGUUCCCUAC
RNAcentral lists this long non-coding RNA (215 nucleotides) under Vigna radiata. RNAcentral describes it as "long non-coding RNA (VRAD_LNC015720)". Lineage: Eukaryota; Viridiplantae; Streptophyta; Magnoliopsida; Fabales; Fabaceae. The record is from RNAcentral.